GUGAGUAACACGUAAGCAACCUGCCUAUCAGAGGGGAACAACAGUUAGAAAUGACUGCUAAUACCGCAUAUGCCUUAGAAUCACAUGGUUCAAAAGGGAAAGGAGCAAUCCGCUGAUAGAUGGGCUUGCGUCUGAUUAGCUAGUUGGUGGGGUAACGGCCUACCAAGGCGACGAUCAGUAGCCGAACUGAGAGGUUGAACGGCCACAUUGGGACUGAGAUACGGCCCAGACUCCUACGGGAGGCAGCAGUCGGGAAUAUUGCGCAAUGGAGGAAACUCUGACGCAGUGACGCCGCGUGCAGGAAGAAGGUUUUCGGAUUGUAAACUGCUUUAGACAGGGAAGAACAAAGACAGUACCUGUAGAAUAAGCUCCGGCUAACUACGUGCCAGCAGCCGCGGUAAUACGUAGGGAGCGAGCGUUAUCCGGAUUUAUUGGGUGUAAAGGGUGCGUAGACGGGAAG
This 460-nucleotide ribosomal RNA is filed under the name uncultured bacterium. RNAcentral describes it as "bacterial SSU rRNA". It matches the Rfam family "Bacterial small subunit ribosomal RNA", at positions 106 to 582 of the family's 1533-position model. The record is from RNAcentral.